CUUCUGCAUUUUUUUUAAUUUACUCCUUUUGUUUAUUUUUAUUUUUUAAAAAAAUUUGGCCACUGAACUUUUGCGCGUUUCAAUUUAGUCCCUGGCUCGUUAGAAGGGACACGUGUCCAGGGGGUCGGGUUAUUUUCUCAUUUGGUCCUCGUUUGUUUUCGCGCCUUUCGAAUUAGUCAUUUGUUUAUUUUUUAUUUUAGUUUAUCCUGCUAAUUUAAUUUGAGUAUCAAUCGAGUCCUUUAUUCAUUUAAAUUCUUUAUUUAUUUUUGGUAUUAUUUUAUUUUUUAGUUUAUAACUGUUCUCUUUAUUUUUUAUUUUUUAUUGUGUAUCUUUAUUUAUUUUGCUUUAUUAUUUUUACUUUAUUACUCCUUUUUAUAUAUUUGCUUAAAAUUGGAUUGUGUAUAUGUUUAUUAGUUUUUUUUUUUAUCAUUCUUUUACCGUUUAAAAUAUCUAUGCUUAAUACUAUAUAUUUAUUUCAUUUAUUUACUCAUCUAUUUAUCAUUCUUUUACUUUAAAAUAUUUAAAUCUAAUAUUAUGAACAUUUACUUUAUCUAUUUACUUAUUU
This 565-nucleotide long non-coding RNA is filed under the name Gossypium raimondii (Peruvian cotton). RNAcentral's name for it is "long non-coding RNA (GRAI_LNC010913)". Lineage: Eukaryota; Viridiplantae; Streptophyta; Magnoliopsida; Malvales; Malvaceae. The record is from RNAcentral.